GUGCCACAGCCGCCGCGGUAAUACGGAGGGGGUUAGCGUUGUUCGGAAUUACUGGGCGUAAAGCGCGCGUAGGCGGACAUUUAAGUCAGGGGUGAAAUCCCGGGGCUCAACCCCGGAACUGCCCUUGAUACUGGGUGUCUUGAGUUCGAGAGAGGUGAGUGGAACUCCGAGUGUAGAGGUGAAAUUCGUAGAUAUUCGGAAGAACACCAGUGGCGAAGGCGGCUCACUGGCUCGAUACUGACGCUGAGGUGCGAAAGUGUGGGGAGCAAACAGGAUUAGAUACUCCUGUAGUCC
This 294-nucleotide ribosomal RNA is filed under the name uncultured bacterium. RNAcentral's name for it is "partial 16S ribosomal RNA". It matches the Rfam family "Bacterial small subunit ribosomal RNA", at positions 505 to 796 of the family's 1533-position model. The record is from RNAcentral.